RNAcentral lists this ribosomal RNA (253 nucleotides) under uncultured bacterium. Its description in RNAcentral is "partial 16S ribosomal RNA". It matches the Rfam family "Bacterial small subunit ribosomal RNA", at positions 524 to 776 of the family's 1533-position model. The record is from RNAcentral.
UACGGGGGGAACGAGCGUUGUUCGGAUUUACUGGGCGUAAAGGGCACGCAGGCGGGGAGACAAGUCAGAUGUGAAAACCCAAAGCUUAACUCUGGGCCUGCAUUUGAUACUGUUUCUCUUGAGUACGGGAGAGGAUGGCGGAAUUCUUGGUGUAGCGGUGAAAUGCGUAGAUAUCAAGAAGAACACCGGUGGCGAAGGCGGCCAUCUGGCCCGAUACUGACGCUCAUGUGCGAAGGCAAGGGGAGCAAACAGG